UUGCUUUGCAAGCAUAUAUAUUAAAAUUAGACAAAUAUGGAGAAAAUUAGCAUGGCCCCUACAUAAGGAUAACAUGCAAAUUCUUGAAACACUCCAUAUUUGU
Small nuclear RNA from Grammomys surdaster, 103 nucleotides. NCBI's taxonomy places the organism in Eukaryota, Metazoa, Chordata, Mammalia, Rodentia, Muridae. The record is from RefSeq and is a predicted model, not a curated record.